Molecule: ribosomal RNA, 506 nt
Filed under: uncultured bacterium
Lineage: Bacteria
Description: partial 16S ribosomal RNA
Rfam family: Bacterial small subunit ribosomal RNA
Source: RNAcentral
AGUGAACGCUGGCGGUAGGCCUAACACAUGCAAGUCGAACGGCAGCACAGAGGAGCUUGCUCCUUGGGUGGCGAGUGGCGGACGGGUGAGGAAUACAUCGGAAUCUACUCUGUCGUGGGGGAUAACGUAGGGAAACUUACGCUAAUACCGCAUACGACCUACGGGUGAAAGCAGGGGACCUUCGGACCUUGCGCGAUUGAAUGAGCCGAUGUCGGAUUAGCUAGUUGGCGGGGUAAAGGACCACCAAGGCGACGACCCGUAGCUGGUCUGAGAGGAUGAUCAGCCACACUGGAACUGAGACACGGUCCAGACUCCUACGGGAGGCAGCAGUGGGGAAUAUUGGACAAUGGGCGCAAGCCUGAUCCAGCCAUACCGCGUGGGUGAAGAAGGCCUUCGGGUUGUAAAGCCCUUUUGUUGGGAAAGAAAUCCAUCUGGUUAAUACCCGGGUGGGAUGACGGUACCCAAAGAAUAAGCACCGGCUAACUUCGUGCCAGCCGCCGCGGUAA